UUUUUAUUAUUUAUUAGAAUUUUUUGGAAUUUGUUUGAUUUUUUGGAAUUUUUUUGAUUUUUUGGAAUUUACUAUUUUUUUUUAAUGUUUUAGAGUUUACACUUAAGUCCCUGUGUUUCUAAAACUGACGCAAACCGUCCCUGAAUUAGUUAGUUAACUCAAAGUUAACAAAAUAAAUGGAUGGAGUUAAGUUAGUAGACUGAAAUGGUUACGAAAAUGAAACUAAUGGACUGAAAUGACAAUUUUUAAACUAAUGGACUGAAACCGUUAUUUUUGACAAACCUCAGGGACGAAAACAGUAAUUAACUCUUAAUGAAAUUUGCCUUCAAAAAAAAAAAAGAGAUAAACACACCUUUAGAAAAUAAGAUGUAGUUUAUGAGGAAUGGACAAAAUAUACAACAAAAUGAAAAGUUAUAUGACAGAUAAAUUUAUUGGAAAUUAUUUAAUGAUAUGGCCUCUUUUGAUACAUUAACAAACUACAACAAAAAAUAUAAAGCAAGCAUGUUCCUUUAAACCAAAUUAAAACAUGUCCAGCCAUGAGAAUAUCCUUACAAUUUUGAAAAGACAAAUAACAAUAUAAGCAUUGUCAUCAGAAGUUGAUACACAAACAUAUAAAAUUAGGUUUUUCCAUGCAAAGCUAAAAACAAACUCCAACAGACCCUAAAUGCAUCAAUUGUAAACCAUGUAUUUAGGAGUAGCACUGAACUUCUGGUAGCCCUUGAUCACCUUGUUCACUGCAUCAAGAAAGUCUUUCUCUGUCACCGUCUUCCUGCGUGCUCUGAUUGCAUACAUUCCCGCCUCUGUGCACACACUUCUAAUAUCCGCACCUGCAUAUUCCAAAAUAAUGUUACUUCUAAACUUUAUGACCAUUUAAUGUAUAGUUUUUUUACAAGAACACUAGAUGAGGUAAAGUCAAUGGCGUUCUUAUGGAUCAAAAAUCGGUCUAAGGCGGUCUCGUUAACAUGGGAGGAUUGGAGCCGGUUUAAUUUAGCGGCUAUGUAAUGUUGUAUUUGUUUUAAUUUGGUGUAAUCGUUGUACUUUUGGGUUGUAGCAUCUUGCUACUAUGAAUAAAAUCUUUUGUCGGCCGUUCAAAAAAAAAUUUAAUGUAUAGUUUUGAACAAAUAUGAUUGAUAAAGGGAUGUUACCAGUAGAAUUAGGGCAAAGGCGCGCCAAAAGUUCAUAACGAAUAUCCCUUUCGCAGUUCAUUGUUCGUGUAUGAAUCUUGAAUAUUUGCGUCCUGCUUUCCAUAUCAGGUAACCCGAACUCCACUUUUCUGUCUAAUCUUCCGGGUCGUAAUAGUGCAGGGUCCAGGGUAUCUGGUCUGGAAUUAUAACAAUUGAACAGGUGAUCGAAUCAGCAGUUGCAAUAUUUUAAAAUCAGUUGUUAUCAAAAGUGGAUAUAGAACAUGGGUAAACUGCAUGAAACCAACUCACAAUCUAUUACCAAUUUCUGUUGCAAACAUUACAUUUUUUCUGACCCUUUUUUUCGAGUUAAUUACUAUACAAUAAUAUUAUAAAAUGUCACAUAAGAUGCCACUCGAUAUUAUCGAAAUAUACACCAAAAUGACAAAGAAAAUGAAAAUUUAGCAAUUUAACAAAUUUUAAAAACUCAGCAAAAAAUAAAAAAUAAAAAGAUAAUUAGUUGCAGGUUGCACCAACCAACAAUAUUAUUUAACUUGGUUGCUAGAAUUGGCCAUAAAAUGAAGUUGGUUGACUUGGUUCCUAUUUUGCGCCUAAUUAUUAGUUAAUUACUAAAAUUCUGAAAAAGGUCUAAAGUUUGUUUCCAUUUCAUGCAGUUUACCAGUUUAUCUAAUAUAAUAUAAUAUAAACAUACCUAUUUGUUGCCAUUAGAACCUUGAUAUUACCACGAGCAUCGAAACCAUCAAGCUGAUUCACAAUCUCAAGCAUGGUACGUUGAACCUC
This 1922-nucleotide long non-coding RNA is filed under the name Helianthus annuus (common sunflower). RNAcentral describes it as "hypothetical non coding rna". Lineage: Eukaryota; Viridiplantae; Streptophyta; Magnoliopsida; Asterales; Asteraceae. The record is from RNAcentral.